CAAUAGCGUAUAUUAAAGUUGUUGCGGUUAAAAAGCUCGUAGUUGGAUUUCUGCCGAGGACGACCGGUCCGCCCACUGGGUGAGUAUCUGGCUCGGCCUGGGCAUCUUCUUGGAUAACGUAGCUGCACUUGACUGUGUGGUGCAGUAUCCAGGACUUUUACUUUGAGGAAAUUAGGGUGUUUCAAGCAGGCACACGCCUUGAAUACAUUAGCAUGGAAUAAUAAGAUAGGACCUCGGUUCUAUUUUGUUGGUUUCUAAAGCUGAGGUAAUGAUUAAUAGAGAUAGUUGGGGGCAUUCGUAUUUAAUUGUCAGAGGUGAAAUUCUUGGAUUUGUUAAAGACGGACCACUGCGAACGCAUUUGCCAAGGAUGUUUUCAUUGACCAAGAACGAAAACUAGUGGAUCGAAGACGAUUAGAUACCGU
This 422-nucleotide ribosomal RNA is filed under the name uncultured eukaryote. RNAcentral's name for it is "SSU rRNA". It matches the Rfam family "Eukaryotic small subunit ribosomal RNA", at positions 592 to 1018 of the family's 1831-position model. The record is from RNAcentral.